This 497-nucleotide ribosomal RNA is filed under the name uncultured bacterium. Its description in RNAcentral is "partial 16S ribosomal RNA". It matches the Rfam family "Bacterial small subunit ribosomal RNA", at positions 28 to 507 of the family's 1533-position model. The record is from RNAcentral.
GAUGAACGCUGGCGGCGUGCCUAAUACAUGCAAGUCGAGCGAACGGACGAGAAGCUUGCUUCUCUGAUGUUAGCGGCGGACGGGUGAGUAACACGUGGAUAACCUACCUAUAAGACUGGGAUAACUUCGGGAAACCGGAGCUAAUACCGGAUAAUAUUUUGAACCGCAUGGUUUAAAAGUGAAAGACGGUCUUGCUGUAACUUAUAGAUGGAUCCGCGCUGCAUUAGCUAGUUGGUAAGGUAACGGCUUACCAAGGCAACGAUGCAUAGCCGACCUGAGAGGGUGAUCGGCCACACUGGAACUGAGACACGGUCCAGACUCCUACGGGAGGCAGCAGUAGGGAAUCUUCCGCAAUGGGCGAAAGCCUGACGGAGCAACGCGGCGUGAUUGAUGAAGGUCUUCGGAUCGUAAAACUCUGUUAUUAGGGAAGAACAUAUGUGUAAGUAACUGUGCACUUCUUGACGGUACCUAAUCAGAAAGCCACGGCUAACUACGUG